AGCGCAGGCGGUGCGGCAAGUCUGAUGUGAAAGCCCGGGGCUCAACCCCGGUACUGCAUUGGAAACUGUCGUACUAGAGUGUCGGAGGGGUAAGCGGAAUUCCUAGUGUAGCGGUGAAAUGCGUAGAUAUUGGGAGGAACACCAGUGGCGAAGGCGCCUUUCUGGACUGCGUCUGACGCUGAGAUGCGAAAGCCAGGGUAGCGAACG
RNAcentral lists this ribosomal RNA (207 nucleotides) under uncultured bacterium. Its description in RNAcentral is "partial 16S ribosomal RNA". It matches the Rfam family "Bacterial small subunit ribosomal RNA", at positions 567 to 774 of the family's 1533-position model. The record is from RNAcentral.